Molecule: ribosomal RNA, 301 nt
Filed under: uncultured bacterium
Lineage: Bacteria
Description: partial 16S ribosomal RNA
Rfam family: Bacterial small subunit ribosomal RNA
Source: RNAcentral
CAGUCGCCACGGGAAUACGUAGGUGGCAAGCGUUGUCCGAAGUUACUGGGCGUAAAGAGCGUGUAGGCGGGUCUUUAAGUGAGGGGUGAAAGGUUCAGGGCUCAACCCGGACACUGCCUUUCAUACUGGAGACCUUGAGUGUGGGAGAGGCGAGUGGAAUGGUCGGUGUAGCGGUGAAAUGCGUAGAUAUCGAUCGGAACACCCAUGGCGAAGGCAGCUCGCUGGCCUAUAACUGACGCUGAGGCGCGAAAGCGUGGGGAGCAAACAGGAUUAGAUACCCGCGUAGUCCCUGUCUCUUAUA